Molecule: long non-coding RNA, 260 nt
Filed under: Capsicum annuum
Lineage: Eukaryota; Viridiplantae; Streptophyta; Magnoliopsida; Solanales; Solanaceae
Description: long non-coding RNA (CANN_LNC021317)
Source: RNAcentral
CCCCAGAUCCUUCUUGGAUAUUCUACACCUCAACUCAAGGAAAAUGCCUAAGUUAAGGGUGGAUAUCGUAGGGGUGCGUAAAGUAAAAUAGGUAUGCAGAAUGGUAAAGUAAGAGAUAAAGUUAGUAGGGCUGGAUGUAGUAGCAAAAUAAAGAGAAAAAUAAAAAAAAAAAAGUUGUGAAAAAAACAAAGAGAAAGAAUAAAAGACCAUACCCAGCCUGGAUAUGUAUAAAAGAAUAAAAAGGAAGAAAUAAGGGUGGA